RNAcentral lists this long non-coding RNA (16103 nucleotides) under Medicago truncatula (barrel medic). RNAcentral describes it as "long non-coding RNA (MTRU_LNC001245)". The record is from RNAcentral. Lineage: Eukaryota; Viridiplantae; Streptophyta; Magnoliopsida; Fabales; Fabaceae.
CAAUAAGUUUAACGUGAGUCCAGUGGACAUGGAAAGUGCAUCAGUGGCUCUUAUAUGCUUGCAACAAAGGAUUCCUUUCAUUGCUAUUAGGGCUCUCUCUGACUUGGCUGGUGGCGGCACCGCGGAGUCGAACGAGGCUGAUACCUUCUCACCACUGGCUGCAACCAACUCUGUUGCUGUGGUCAUUGAGUUUGUGAAGCUAUUGUCAUCACACCACUCUAAGUGGUAAACUAUGUUAUGAUGAUGUUUUCAAUAAUCCGUAAUUAGUGCAAUUAUAUGCACAUGUAGACAACAACUUUGUUCUGGUUGUUUGUCCGGAAUAUAAUAAAGCACCAGCACUAAAUAAAUAUUAUCAUAUAUAUAAUUAAGCUCUAAAUGGUACUUAUAGAUGGACUAUCAGACAUCUGAAGGUAACGACAUAUAUAUCAACUCUAACACAGUAUUUCCAUUGCAGCAGCACUAGAUUAAUGUUUCCCUCAGACUCCAUUUCUCAUGUGAAAAUAAAUGCAUUCAUCUAAAACCGCAAAAAUAACAUUUCUUUCACUUUAAUUUGAAUACACUUUUUAAGAUGGUGAAUUCUUUGGCAUAAUUCGUUAGGCAAAGUUAGCCAAAAUUUAGAAUAUUACUUAAAAUAUAAUUAAUCAUAGAAAAAUGACACAAUCUUACAUAAUUAGAUAUCGAAUACUAUAUAUGACUAAAAAUCUUCAAGGAUAUGGAUCUAGUUACCAAAUGGUGUUGUGGCUUAAAGGAGAUAUUGAUUAUUUGUUCUCUUUAAAUGGAAAAUUAUAUAUAUUAACAGAAAUGAUGAUUACAGGAACCAAAAAAAAUAAUAUAUGACGAGUACAAAAAGGUAAAACCCCUUAUAUUAACAUAAAUGACGAGUACAAGAAUCUUUUCCCUCUUUAACAUUUUUUUUUAUAAAGAGUUUUUUUUUUCCGUAGAUAGAAGAAAUGAUCAUUUGCCAUUUUUUCCAUCUAGAAUAAAACCAUUAUAAAAAAUAUAUAUAUAUAAAAAAAAAAGAGGAAAGAGGAAAGGUAAUUAAGAUGAACAUAAAAGAAAAACUUGAAAAACAUCUUAAACCAAACCAAAAAAAAUUAUCCAAGCAAUCCAAACCAAGAAAAUAAACAAUAACCAUCAAGUAUGAGAUAUCGAUUCUAUUUCAGUAUAGUGUAAAUGUAAUUUCAAAAUUGUUCUUUAGGCGCCUAGGAUUCUUCAUAAGCACAUCAAGCCCUAAACUUCACUGAUAGAUAACUACAGUCCGCAAGUGAACGGUAGUUAAGAACCAUUCACUACUUUUUAAAUCGGUUAAUCGGGUAACUGAUCUAAAAUGUAUUAUGUUUAUGGGCAAACCUACGAGACCUUGUUAGUUCAAAUAAGUACGACUUUUUAGGGAAGUUAAGUGUGUUACGGAUGUCACUAAUCAUUAUUUCAAACAGAGAAUUAUGACUUUUUAGGAUCUUUAGGAACGGUUUUUAACUUCCCUCAAAAAAAAAGAAAAGAACGGUUUUUAACUACCAUUCGCUACCAAAUGGUUUGUAACUCCCGAUGAGGGUCUUUAUAGAAGUUUAAGGCACUUCUGAGCAAUUGCUAGAUGCUUAAAGAACAAUUUCCUUAUAAUUUGUGGUUAAGCACAUGGAUAAAGAUUAAUCUUAUAAUGGAUCAAACACUUAAAUCUUACAAAAAUUAUCUGGUGAAUCCACCAUAGAAUUAAAAAUUCUAAUGUCAUAUAAAGUUUGAAAAGAAAACAACAUAAGCUUGUGGAGAUUCUUUCAUUAAAAAAAAGCUUGUAGAGAUAUUUUGAUUAGAGUGCCCAAGCCCAAAGCAAUAAUAAUCAAUGAAAAAGAAAACAAUAAACACGUUCUAUUAUUAAUAAUGAAUUGGGUGUGCGUAAUGAUUCUAUUUUUUUAUUUUUUUUGUCAAGUAGCCUAGUAGUUAGAGCUCACACAAUUUAAUUGUGGAGAAGUGGGGUGUCGGAGGUUCGAACCCCAGCCCCUACAUAUAAUAUCCAAUAUUCCUACCAACUGAGCUAAGCUCAUGAAAAUUGUAAUGAUUCUACUUAAUUGGAAUGAAAAUGUGAAUAAGAUUUCAUUGAUUCACUCAAUUAAGCGAGUAAUGAUAGGAAACAAAAGAAAUGUAAUAAGAAUCGGAAGAAGAUUAGUAGUGAGGGGAUAGAGAAUGAUAGAGAAAGAAGUUACAUCACAUAUAUUAUUUGUCUUGUUUUUUUUUUAGUACAAAUCAUUUAUCUAUUGAAACGUAUACAAGUUAGUCAUUUUUUCAUUUGUUAUAUUAAAAAAUUGUGUUAAAGUGACUUAUCACGUAUGAUUAUUAGUAAUAGUUUUAAUUAUCAAUAAUUUUUAUCGUUAAAAAAACUCAGAAAAAACAAAUAUCCAUCUUCUUUGUUUUCUCAUCAUCUUCACCUUCACCUUCAUAAUCUUAUUUCAUCAAACCCAUAAAAUUCAAAUUAAAACAUCAAGUCUUAGUGUCUCAAAUCAAAACCUAGAAAAAGUAAACCCUAAUAAUCAUAUGUGGCAAGCUUCAUCACUAUUUUUUAAUGAAAAAAAAGGAUUAACUUGUAAAUACUUCAAGAGAUAGAGGAUUUAAAUGAGAUAAAAAAAAAAAGAUAAAGAACUCAACUGUUGUAAAUAAAUAAGAUAAAUGAUCUCUGGAGUUAUUUUGCAUAUACCUUACUAUGAGAAAUGUUAUGAACGCUCUUAUUUUAACACUUUAUCUAACAUCCACUCUUUUAUUGAAUGAAAUCUAAGUUAGUUUCAUGAUUAUAUGUGUGGCUCAUUUUUAAAGUGUAUGAUCCACAUGAGUUUGACUAAUAAAAAAAUUAAUGUUAAAGAGAUAAUUAGAAAGUUUGACCUAAUAAAAGAAUUAAUGUUAAAGAGAGGGUUAGAAAUGAAGUGUUAUAUCACUUUGGUUCUUUACUAUAACCCAUUGCAAGUUGCAACUUUUAACAUCCAUCCUCCUUCAGAAAAAAAUAAAAAAUAAAAACUUAUUUAUCUAGAGAUAUCGUCCCUCCCCGCUGUCCUAUUGUAUCUUUGCAUGAUUGCAUCACAACGUAAAUGCUCGCCAUGAGUACCUCAAGGCUGAAGAAUCGUAUCAUUAAUAAAAUUAAUAUUUGUUUAUUUGAUUAAAAGUGAAAGAAAUAAAAUUAUAAAACACGAUUUAACAAAACAAAAGAAGGUAAGAGAAAACAAACAGGCCGGCAGAGAGAAGAAAGUCCCAUCAACUUUCUUCCAAAACAAGAAAGCUAAAAAGAUCAACUUAAUAUCACACAUUCCACGGGACAAACGAGGAAGCAAAAGAAAAAAUUAUUAGGUGAAAUUAGAUUUUUUUUAGAGGUAUUAGGUCACAUUAGUUGAAUAAUAAAUGAUGUUAAUCUCUAGUUGUUUAAAAAAAAUGUGUUAACCUCUACUUCUUAGGAUUUUUUUAAAAACCACUAGUUCUUGAAAAAUAAUGUUAGUAAUACGAAGUUGGAUCGAACAACAUUAUUCUUCCUUUUUUGGUAUUAGCUCUAUCAUUCUCCUCCCUAAGCAUAAGAAAAAACAAAUUUGAGAGAGAUAAGCAUCAAUUUUCUAAUUAUUUAUUUUUUUCUUCGCCUUAUAGUUCAAUUAUAUUUUUUCACUAAACCUUCACACAUCCUCCCUAAUAUCAUUAGCAACCUUAUGUAAUAAAUAUAGGUGUGCAAAUUUUAAGGAAAGAUAUUCACUUGGUUAUCAACAACUUCGUGCUAGUCUAUUUUUUUUGUUCGUUUAUCCAAAGACCCGCCUUGUAUUCCUUCUGUAAAAACUAAAUUUGAGAAGAAAAAAAAUUGUUCUACUAUUGAGCCUCUCAUUCAAUGACGAAUCUAGGACCAUAUGUCAAGGGAUGAUUUAUUUAUUUAUUUUUUUUAAUUUUAAAGAGUCUAAUGAUAAAGUGGACACACUAAACGUUAAGUAGAGAAUUGCGAAUUCGAACUACCUUUUGCAACAUAUCAAAUGUUCUAUACAUUUUUAUCAAACCAAAAUGAUAAGUUAUAUUAACACAACAAACUAAACGAGUUACCAAGCACAAAGAGUGUCAAGGAAACACAUCAAAAGUUUACAACAAUUCAAAAUCUAGCCAAACAAAUGAACCCAAAAAGAAAGAAAUACCACAUGGUAAAACCUAUACAUUCCAAGGGAUUGAAACACCAAUUAUGAUAAUCUAAAGCAAAAGAAGGGUUGCUUUCAUUCAACCAUCAAUAUUAUUUAAUAUAUUAUAAUUAUCUGAUUUGACUAUAUGGGUUAUAGUUAGAAGAACAUUGUGAAUGUAAACAUGGCAGCUUCUUCAAGCUGCACAUGUUGUUUUUCAACCCAUAGAGGAUAUUCUACAAUGUUUAAGUGAUUGUCCGCAUUCUAGAGAGAUUUGCCUCCUAUUGAAUAUGAGACGUUACCAUAAAUUUUUCUCCCAAACCGAUGUCAAGCUUUGCCAUCAUGAGAUGACAUAUGGUACCUCCUAUAUUUUGUUUGUUACAUGAUUAUAGUAUGUUUGGUGUAACACCCCGUUUUCCCAACAUAAAAAUUUCAUAAAAUAAUCAGAGUUAUUCGCGUAAACGGAAUGCUACACUUCUUUUUCUAAAAUCAUAAAUGAAAUAAUUAACUAAUUAUCCUUCAAAAUUCAACAACAUAAUAAUUAAUACUUCGCAACGGAAUUUAUUCAAACAUCUAAAUAGUCUUUGGCACAAAGGCCUCAUCAUAACGUCUCAUAAAAUCCAAUCUAAAACAUAGUCAUGUAAAAUCAGAAGCAAUACGUAAGGAAUAGAAAAGCAUGCAACAAAGUUCCCAUCCCGUUACGUAUCAGAGCACCUAAAGACACACGUGAGAGAUAGUCCACUCAUGACAGCAAAUUCGUGCAACAAAUUUUGCUUAUGGAUAAUUGUUGCUAAAUUCGUGCUCCAACUGUGAUGAUAUGUUUGUAUGCAUGAAUUGAUGAUAAUUGUAUGAUUGUUGGUGAAAUUACAUGUUCAAAUAUGUAAAAAUGAUAAGUUGUGAAAAUUGUGCUCAAUUGGUGAAUUUUGCUAAGUUGUUGUUAGAUUGAGUUAUGAUUCUUGUUCAAUUGAUGUUAUGGCUGUUAAUUGAUGUUGUGGUUGAUGAAUCAUUGCUUGGGUAUGCAUAUUCAUGAAUUGAGGAUGUUAAUUUGAGAUGUUGUUAAGUGUUUUGCUAAAUUUGUGAAUUGGCCCAAUUGUCAAGUGUUUUCAUGUUUGAUUGAGUCUUUGUGAGUCUUUUUAGUCAUAUUGACCUAUAAAGAUGUUCUGAAAACACAUUUGGGCAUUGAGGGAUCAAAAUUUGAGUUUUGGGGUGAAAAAUGGUUUAAACCCGUGAAAAAUUAUACAGAAAUGAUGACUGUUCGCUUAAGCGAGAUGGAAGCGAGCUGUAAGCGAACAACUACUGUAAGUAGUUCGCUUAAGCGAAGAAUUGUUCGCUUAAGCGAAAUGCCCUUUGACAACAUUUCUUAUUUCGCGUUCUUGUGUCUUUUUCACACGUUUCUGUUUUGAAUUGGAUUUUGGUGUAAACAUGAAAAUUUUAGAUAAUUAUGUUAGCUUUCUAAUGGCUUUGGUUUGACGUCCAAAUGAUUUUUAGAACUUGAGUUAUGAUCAAAUUACUACACAUGGUUCAUGUGGAUUUUUGUGAAAACUUAUCAUAACUUUUUCUAUGAGCCGUGAAACUUUUCCAAACUUGAUAUUGGGUUCAAUGAAGUACUUAGAGUGAAUAAUUGAGUAUGCAUUUAUGUAUUUGGGAAUAUGAAUGUGUUGAUGGUUUGAGAUAUAUUUUGGAUGGAAAGUGAAAGGUUGUGAAAACGGAUUUUGAGCUAAAAUGUCGUUUUAAGUGAUCACGUGAAAUAAGCUAUGUUUUAGCGAUUGCACUUGAGAUGUUAGAGUUGAAAAUGAUGUGUUAUUUUGCUGUUUUGAUUCAUAUUUUUGCUGGAACAUAUUUUACAUGGUCAAAACUUGGAUUUUCCAAAUGGUUUGAAACUUGAGAUUGUGUCGUUUCGGUUUUUCGGAAAUUGUCGAAACUUGGAAUUUUGGGAACAAAAAGGAUUGCAAGUUUGGUCUACAGUUCAUAUAGACUUAGACAAGGCUUGUAAGGUUAGUAUAAUGUAUUAAUCAUGUCAAACUUGAUUUUCGGGUGGGAUUGUGGAAUGUAUAAACUUGGGAUUUUCUCAUACGAACUUAUGCUAAUCUUUGAACUAAUGAUUGAUAGUUCGUAAGUGGCCUAUGCUCAUACUUAUAUAAUUGAUUAAGAUUGAAUUGUAGGAUUUCAAACUUGAAUAAGUUUCCUAGCUUUGAAAAAUUAUCAAUGUUGACCGUUUGACACAUGAUUUGGAUUUUUGUCGGAAAUGUUUCUUGAGCCAAUUGUCUUGUGAGUUAUUGUGACUAUUUUUGUAUGACUAAGUGAAGUUGUAUGAAAGAGUAAUUAUAUUUUGGAUAUGAUGUUUAUCAUGAGAUAUGUAUGCUAUCUUACUUAGAAUGUAAGGAAUGCUUGAAUGGUGAAACUAUAUAUGAUAGUUGAUGUUGAAUGAUUAUAUGUUGAAUAUGAUAUUUAUCAUGAGAUGUUGUUUUCCCUUUUACUUGGAAUAUGAGAAUGUUUGAAUUGGUGAAACUAUAUGUGAUAGUUGAUGUUGAAUGACAUUGUUGAUUAUUGAUAAUCAUGUUGAUGUGUGAGGAUGAAUACUAUGAUUUAAUUGUGUAUGGACAUGUUUUCUUGAUAAUGCAAAUGAUGUGGAGAUGAACAAUAUAAUUGGGUGUUGUCCUAUAUAUUGUGGAGAAAAUUGUGAUUGGUGUCGCAUUAUCGAGUCUUAUUACAUGUCCAUGCAUCAUAGUCGUGUAGUUGUAAAAGGGUUGAGCUCUUUUACUUCGGAGAUUAUGUAAGGCGGGUGUGAACCCUUCCUUACAUACGAUGUGAGUUGUUCCAUCGAAGGUGACGACCUUUUGGAGAUUUGGUACCACAUGCAUAUAUGUGUUAAUAGGUGCAUAUCAUGGCAUGAGUCUCAUUGAUAUAUGUGAUUGGUGAUUGUGUAUGAAUAACUGUGAAUUGAUAUUUGUUCAUGACACAUGUGAUUGGUGAUUAUUGAUGUGAGAUAUUGAGGUUUGAUGUAAGUAUUGAUUUGAGAAUAUUAUUAUUGAUCAAGUGCAUGAUGUUUAAAUUGAGAUAUUCAUGUUAACUGUUAUUUGGAUUAUGAUAAUGUAAUACUUACCCCAAGUGGAUCUGUGAUGGACCGCCUGCCUAUCUGUAUGGAUGGGUAGAUGUUGUGCAAGUUUAGAUGCUCGGUGAGUUUUAUGCUUGGUGGAUAUCGGGAGAUAUCGAUGUUUAGUGUGUAGUCGGCUCUGAUCUAAGCUUCGUUGUGUCAGUCUAGAUUAUCUUUAUUUUGGACUUUUGUUAUGUUGGAGAUUACCCGUUUGUUUGGGAUUUUUGAGAUGCAUCUAUGUUGAUGUAAUUAUUGUUUCAUGACAUGUAUAUUGGAUUACUCUAGUUUAUAUUCCGUUGCGAUUGUUGAGGUUUAUAUACAUGUUUAUUGUUUUUUUUGAAUUUUGAAUGUGGCGUAGCCUCUAUUUCUUGAAUAAUUGUAUUAUUCGCAUGUUUAAUUGCUUUAAUAGAAAUAGGAGCGUUACACUAUCCAGAUGGCUCCUGAUUUUUGUCGCAACCAAGGCUAUAACAACAUUAUUUGUGAGAGAUAUUUCUUGAAAGCGGUUGAGUUGUUUGUUGUUGGUUGUGAUCAUACAGUGCACACAUAUACCACUGACAUCCUUCAUAUUAGAGAUGUUUUAUAUGGAAAUGAUAACACUAAUUAAAUGUUGCAUGUUCUUAGAAAACAAAACAUGUGUGCAAAUUUUAUGGCUAAGGAGGGAUCAUAUUCAAGGUGCUCUGCUCACUAGGACUUUCCUGCAUGACUCGGAGUCUUUUAUCUUGAAGAAUAAACUUGAAAUUUAAUUUAUUAUAUACUUUUUCCCUUUUGUUUUGCCUCGUUAUGCUGUAACAUCACAAAAAAAUAUAGGUUAUACUUAAUUAAAAUAACUUCUUACUAAAGUAUUAUAAGCAUCCCUCACUUUAGCUUAAUGGCCGCUAGCUUUACCUACAACCCCAUCACCCAGGGUCGCUCCUUUGCGACUUCACUUUUGCUUGCUUGAGCUUAGAUAUUCACUAUUAAUUACUAAUAAACAAAAGACAACCGAUAGAAAGAGAAAAUUGGAUUAAACCUAAGUUAAAGCAUAUAAACCUAAGCUGACCGAAAGCAAUGUUGAUCUCUGCAAUUUGCGGCGCUAUCUAUGAGUCCUCCCUCUCUCAUGGUAACGGGAGAGAGCCUCAAAAGUUAGAGAAAAAGGGUGUAAAAUUAAUAAUCGAUGGUGUGCAAAAUAGUAAUAAUUAAGUGAGAUAGUAGGGUAAUUUAUGAAAUUCUAGGAUGUGCAUGUGCACACCCUCAUCUAUAGUUAGCGUAUAAAACCCAAAAUAAUUAAGUUUGUAAUGGAAACCUCCUCUAUUAGACGAUCAAGAAAGCCAAUCUUAGUCGAACUCAUCAUUUAAUACGAAAGGUAAAUAAGUUUGAAAGCCAAUAUUAGUCGAGCAUAUCGUUUAAUGCAGAAACAUGUUGAUUUGUCUCAGAUGACAAUUCUAGAGUGGUGCAAGGAUACUGAAUGAGAGCUUUUAAUGAAGGGGUUGCUUUGUUUAUGGAGAAUUUGUGGGUGCAUCAAUACUGCCUCUAACACCCCCCCUCCCCAAUGCUUGAAGAACUUGCCGAUGACAUUCUCUUUUGGUUCACUGAAACCAUAAUGCUGCUUCCUUUUGCUCACAUAGAAAGGAUACUCAGAAACAAAAUGUGUCCUCUCUCUAUACAUGCAUCAAGAUCUACUAAUGAUAUGCUAAAGGGGUAAUUAAGAAACUCAUGGUUAUGUAUGAAGAAUGCUUACAAGGUCAUUUUAUCUCUAUUAAGAUACUUAGGGAGGAACGCCUGUCUUGGGCAAACUGCUCAACCUCUAGUAAUGAAACUACAUGGCAAAGUAACAUCGAUUCAGAGAUCGUACUUGGUCAACAACCCUUGAUUUGACUGAAUUUAAAGAAUGCACAAUACUUUAACAAUAAAAUAUAUAUUUUUAGUAUUUUAUAAGAUAAUAAAUUUAUUAUUUUAAUUGUACUCGUUUAUAGAGUGCCUUGUUUUAGUCUUGAAUUUGAAACCCAGUGUUUACUUACAAUUUACUAUUGAAAAAUGAUAUAAUUUAGGUUGUUUUAACCUUUUCCUCUCUUUUGUUUUCUUUUUAAUGGUACAAAGUAGAAACACUCUUCCUCAUUUAAUUCUCUAUAUAAAAGCCAACCUAUUUGUUGGUCAUGUUUUAAAAUACCAACUCCUAAUCUACCAAAAAAAAAAUAAAAAAAAAUAAAUAAAUAAAAUACCAACUCCUAUGGCCUAGUCAGACCAAUCCAAGGGGUUACUCUUCAUUCUAUUCUCUAUAAAAACCAACCCAUUAGGUCCUUCAUUUCUCAAAUCCCACAGUUCUUGUCUUCCUAUAUUGCGUGUGUCUGGGUGUGGAUAAAAAUGGCAGCCACUCAUGGGAAAAUAAUCUUGUUCAUGUUUCUUGCAGCCUUUAUGUUGUUUAAUACCCAAAAUGCAUUCGUGAGUUGUGCUUUAACAUCAGAGUUACAAAACAAAAUUGCUAAAAUCAACGAAGAGGGUCCUUAUUUGGGUUUAAUCAUACCAAAUUCUUUUGAACUUAACCCUCUUCUUCAAAAUCCAGGCUAUACUCCUAGUGAUAGCAUCAUAGAUUUUGCAGGUAAGUGCAUGUGUCUAUCCGAGGACAUAUAACUAUAUGCUUCUUUUCUUUCUCUUCUGUAAAUUGAACAAAUGAAAGAUCCUAGUUUUCUUUUACUAGAGCUGCGUCUUGUAAACAAGUAAUUUCUAACUACUAUAAAUCAUAUAUUGACUUCUAAAUAACAUCAACAGUAAAUAAAUAACUCAAAUAGUUAAUUAUAUCAAUAACAUGUUCGUGAAAUUUUGUUAGGGAAAAAAAGUAAUAGCACUUUCUAAUUUGCCUAUUUUUUGAUGGCUAAUAACGAAGGAAGGAGAUUUCGUUUUGGAUCCAUUGGCGAGAAACCAGUUAUACUGGUAAUGACGGGAUUGAGCGUGGUACGUACGUAUUAUUUUGUUGUUUUUGAGAUUAUUUAAACUAAUUAUUGGAAUUACUUUAUUAAAUUGUGUCUAAUAUUUUUGUACUGAUGCAUGCAUGAAAUGUGUAGAUAAACGCAGCUAUAACAACACAGCUUCUAUUAAGCUUUUUCAAAGUAGAUGGAGUUGUUCAUUACGGAAUUGCUGGAAAUGCAAACCCUUCAUUGCAUAUUGGAGAUGUUGCUAUUCCACAUUAUUGGGCUCAUUUAGCACUUUGGAGCUGGCAGGUAGUACAGUCCACAAUAAUACUCAAUAAAAAAUUAACAUGAAAUAAUGAAUAUAUACUACUGAAGAAAUCAUUUAUAAGAAAUAAAUAAAAAAAUUAGUAUUUUCUAUAUCUCAAGCUAGCUUUGGCUUUUUUAUUUGUCCAUAAAAAUCUCAACUAUUAUCAAUGGACUAAUUAAUAUUUUGGUGGUGUUCGGGGUUCGAACCUCUUAGACCUUAUAUAUAUAUAUAUAUAUAUAUAUAUAUAUAUAUAUAUAUAUAUAUAUAUAUAUAUCAUCUUUACUAACUGAGUUAAGCUCGCGGAGACUUAAAAAUAUAUAACAUAUAAUAUAAUAUUUUAUUUUUAGUCAUAACAUAUACUAUUAUAUUAGUGUGCUCGUAUAUUGGACCAUUUUAUCACUUUAUAAUGCAAAAUAAUACGUGGAGAUAAUAAAAAUAUUCUUCUGUCAAAAAAAAAUAAAAAAAUAUAUUAUAUAAAAUUAGCACUUUGGAGCUGGCAGGUAGUACACUGAAACAGUUAAUUAAAUAUUACCAAAAAAAUCAUAAUAUCAUAUAAAAUUAAAUAAUUGAACCCAAAUUUCUUUUAUGGUAAAUAAUUUUAAAAUAACAACACAACAUGUAAAAUAAAUAAAUUAAAAUAACGACUAAAAAGCAUUGAAUGUGAAUGGUACUUAUUUCUUUAUCUUUAUCUCAAGUCAUCUUUUUCUUUCAAAAAAAUCUCAAGUCAUCUUUUGGCUUUGUUAUUGUCGACGAGAACUCAUUCUUUUUUUUUUUGAAGGAGGACGAGAACUCAUGAAUAUAUCAAUACUCGAGACAAAAAUAAUUCAUAUACGGUCAUUGUUGACUCUAAAAUAUUGCAGGGUCCUUUUCGAAGGGUUUUUGGUAAAAAUAAUUGAUAAAUUACUAGUUUUUAAUCAAUUGAUAGUUGAAAGCUUGUUUUAUUCAAAAUUUUGAACGUGACUUUUUGUAUAUUUUGAUUUCCGUUGCAAUCAUGUACAUACCUUUGAGAGCCCGUGGUUGAACUUUUUUUUUUUAUCAAAAAUAAAAAAUAAAAACACAAUAAAUUUUAAGGCUUUAUGUCACCUUUAAUCAAGUGGUUAAUUUAUUUUUGUUGAACAAUCAAGUGGUUGAAUUUAAAUGGUUGAUGAAUUUGAGUUAAUAAAUCUUUUUGAAGAACUCUUGUUUGAGUUCUAACUUGAAUAAUCUUUGAUCAAACUUAUUUACUUCAUGAGCAUUUUUUGUGUUACUAACACUUUUUUUUCUCAAAGUCAGAUGGUAAAGACAAAAAUAAAACUUUUAAAACUUUUUGUGUUUAUUACUCCCUCCGUCCCAUAAUAACUCAGCCAUUUGCAAAAAAAAAAAAGUGUUAUAAAAUAAUCGAGUCAUUUCACUUUUCAAUACAAUAUUAAUUACUUUUUCCCUUUAUAACUCUAAUUAAGUACUACUUUCACUACUCCAAAUUCAAUAUAUUCUACUUUACAUUUAUGAUAAAGAAGAAUGCACCAAUACUUGAUAAAGACACUCAAAAUUAUUUUUCUCUCUCUUUUAUUUAUACACUUUUCUUAAUUUGUGUGAAAUCAGAAAAUGGCUCAAUUAAACUCGGACGGAGGGAGUAUGAAUUAAAAAGAAAAUGAGAAUCUAAAAAAUAUAAAAAGUAUUUUGAAUGAGAAGUUGUUUUUAUAGCUUCUAAAAAAAUCAUUUUUCAUAACUGAUCAUUUAUUAAAAAAUUAUUUCAUUAUGGUAACAAACACAAUUAAAUAGCUUAUAUUUUUGUAAAAUAUUUAAAAAUUGAAUUCUUUUUUGUAUAAUCUGCUUGAAUAAGAAAUAUUUUCUUUUAAAUUAAUUAACAACUACAUUUUUUUCUUGGUCAAGUAGUGAAAACUUCAUCUAUUGUAAUGGUCACUUUUACACAAAAAAUGUAUUCUCAAUAAUUAUGUUACGUCAAUUUGAUGUUGUUGACUUUGAUCAUUUGAGUGUGUUCAUCUAAAUAUCUUAUGUUCGAUUCAUUUUGUUUUCAAUUUUGGUGGAUUAACUUACCUUCUUAAAGAAAAAAUUUAUGUGCAUGAGUCGUCUAUCCAACAAAGUUUGCAACUGAGAAGUCACUCUCAAACUUUGUUUUAUGAAGGGAUGUCCUCUCAGACUUUUGUUUUUCUUUUCAACUUCUCGUCUAUUUUUAACUUAUAAAAAAAUAAUAAAUCAAACAAAAUUACUAAUCGCAUAGUUGAUUUUUUUUUUCUCACGAUAACUUGUCAUUUUCCAUGCACUCCCUCCACUAUCAAUUAUAAGCAAAUUUCAAUUUUUUAAAUUCAUUCAAUUAAAUUAAUGAUGUAUGUGGUCUAUAAUAUAGAUCAUAUAAAUUAUUAAUUGAAUGCAUUUAAAAAAUCAAAAUUUAUUUAUAAUUGACCGCGGAGAGAGUAUGUGCACAUUGAAAUGGGAUAAAAUUAACCUCAACUGAGUGGUCGUUUUACUCACGUCUCAUUUGUUAAGGGCAAAUACACUAAAUAUGAGCUGUUGACUUUUUUAUUAGGCUAAUUAAUAUAAUAUGAAUCUGGCCCAACACUUAAUUAAUGACUUUAGAGCAUCUUUAUUAUGCAUAGCAUUUUUGAAGGGAAUAAACAUGUAGAUUUUAGUACUCCGUAUUAGCUACUUCUAUCAAAGAUGAAAUAAAAAAGAUUUGUAACUUAGUAAACUUUUAAGAGUUGUGUUGGAGUAAAUUAAUGUUUUUUUCUAAGGAAAAUUAAUGCUUAUUAGAUACUCCCUCCAUCCCAAAUUGUACGACGUUUUGGGCAUUUCACACAUAUUAAGAAAUGUAAUUAAUAUUGUGUGGGAAAGAAAUAUUAUGAGUUAUUUUAUAAAAUUGUCCUUAAUAAAUGAUAUGGGAAAGAUAAAUGAAAGAAUUGAAAAAAGAAAGAGUAAUAAAUAGUUAAGGAUAUAAUAGGAAAAAUAACAUUAAUGUUUCAUUGGUAUUGUAAAGCGACAUAUAAUUUGGACUGGUGCUAGUCACACCCCAAAAAAAACAAGUUACACCCCAGAAUGACUAAUAUACCCUUUAACUAAAAUAAAAAUUUCAAAUUAACUAAAUUUACAUUAACGUAAAUUGAACAUAAGUAAACUUAAUUUACAUUAACCUAAAUUGAACAUAAGUAAACUUAAUUUACAUUAACCUAGAUUGAACGUAAGUAAACUGAAUUUACAAACUUAAUUUACAGUAACCUAGAUUGAAUGUAAGUAAACUGAAUUUACAUUAACCUAGAUUGAACAUAAGUAAACUUAAUUUACAUUAACCUAGAUUGAACGUAAGUAAACUUAAUUUACAUUAACCUAAAUUGAACAUAAGUAAACUUAAUUUACAUUAACCUAGAUUGAAUGUAAGUAAACUGAAUUUACACUAACUUAAAUUGAACAUACGUAAACUUGAAUUUACAUUAACCUACAUACGUAAACUACACUAACCCCUUUUAUAUACAUACACGUAAACUUAAUUUACACUAACCUCUCACUUAAAAUCAAAUUGACAGGCAUAUCUCAUACCAAAACAAACAAUAAACAAAUAGAAACUCAUCGAAAAUGAAAUUCAUGAAAUUCACUGACCUUUAUGAAUAUAGUACAGAUCAAUAACAAAGAUGUUGAUUUAGAUAUUGGUUGCACAUCUAUGGUGAUUUGUGGAUGAAAGGGGGUAAGGGUUCAUAAUGAUCAUAAAAGAUGGGUUUUUAAAAAUUUACAUGAAGAGGGCAAUUUUGGUAUUAUUGUAAAAUUUUAAAUAAAUUUGGGUGUAACUUGUUUUUUUUGGAUGUGACUAGCACCAGUCUAUAAUUUGGGACAAAUAUUUUUUCUAAAGUGACAUAUAAUUUGGGACGGAGGGAGUAUUGCACUUGUUAAAGUAAUUAAAAAUAACAUUUUUUUAGUUAAAUAACAACAAUUAUUUAAAGUUGCAUAUUUAAUAUUAAAUGCACACGUUUUUUAAUAUUAACAUGUUUUUUAAAACUUCUUAAUAUGUGUAAAUUUGUAUAUGAUAGAAAAAUCUAAAGAUAAUCUCUAAAAAAAAAACCUAGAGAUAAAUAAGUGAGAUGGAAGUCAUAUGAAGUCCAUUUAAACUAUCUAUUUUUUUUAAGAGGCACUUAAACUAUCUCUUAAUAACAACAUCAUUGGAGAUGUUCUUAAACCAAACUUAACAUUUUUAAUUUAGUAGCAUAAUUAAUUAGUUAAUUGGUUUUGCGUAUAAAUAAUUACUAUUAUUUUUGUGAAAAGCAUAAUUAAUGAACAAUGCAUGUCUUUGGUUUCAAUUCUAGAGAGUCAAAAGUUAUUUUAGAGGUUGUAAAAUUGAUUUUGUUUUUAUAAUUGAUUCUAGUUUAAGCUACAAUUUGCAGCUUUUGACUUCUACAAUUGAUUUUAGCCUUACAUUUAUUGCGAAAUCCGCUUUUACAUAAAUACUCCAAACAUAAAUCAUUUUAAAAUCAACUCAAUUUUAACGAUGAUCAAUUUUAUAGAAACAAAUUUCUCAAAAUCAAUUCUUGUACAGACGCUCGACUUGAUAGAUUAACGAAUUGCAUAUUUGGCGAAGUUUGUAAUAAUCUGAUGGAGAUUAACGAUUGUAUGUGCAGAGGUAUGGGCAAGAUGCUGAUGAUACGUUACCACUAGAAAUCAAUGGUGACUACACAAGGGACGUAGGUUUCUUGAAAUUUUCAGAUUUUACCUCAAACAUAAGUGCUGCUAACAGUUUUACAGUUAACAAUCAUCUCAACAAUCUUUGGUACCAACCAGAAGAGAUUUUUCCAGUUGAUGGCAUUCCUGAACAAAGGCAACAUGCUCUUUGGGUCCCUGUUGAUUCCAAGUACUACCGUAUUGCCAAAAAACUAGAGGUAUGUAAUUAAGGUCUGGAUUCAAACUACUAUGUAGUAUGUACCAUAAAUAUAUAUGAGUAGGGUUUCAACUUAUGUUUUCUUUUAUAAAAAAAUAUAUAUUAUUGGUAUGAGUACAAGAGCUUGUCAAAUGCAUUACAAUAUGUGUUAAUCAAAUACAUUGUAAGACAUUUGUGUAGGUUACUUUAUCAAUAUGAGAAAAUCAGAUUUUUAUUUCAAUUUUCAACCUUCCUACAAUUGAAGUUCUGUUGGCCUUGAUUAUAUUGCGGGUUCGAAUCAACACAUCGGCAUAUCGAAUCUUCAUAUGCAAUCUUUUUCUAUCUUAAUAAGAUGUACUUGUGAAACAUAUAUGGCGCCGUCACUUCAUGAAUUUAAAAACAAAUAAUUUACUAUAAUAAUAAUAAAUAUAUUUUUACAAAUAUAUAUAUAUAUAUAUAUAUAUAUAUAUAUAUAUAUAUAUUUUUUUUUUGAGAGGAUCAAUAAUGUAAACUAUAUUUUUACAUUUAUAUAUUACUACAUGAUACAAAUUAUGUGGUUAUGUUUAUUGGGAUAUAUAUUUUUCAGCAAAUGAAGCUGGAGGCGUGUAUAGACUCAGACACAUGCUUGACAACGACACCAAAGGUUGUGCUUGUGGAGAGAGGAACAAGUGCAGGGUUCUAUCUAGACAAUGCAGCAUACAGAACCUUCAUCUUCAAUAAGUUUAACGUGAGUCCAGUGGACAUGGAAAGUGCAUCAGUGGCUCUUAUAUGCUUGCAACAAAGGAUUCCUUUCAUUGCUAUUAGGGCUCUCUCUGACUUGGCUGGUGGCGGCACCGCGGAGUCGAACGAGGCUGAUACCUUC